RNAcentral lists this ribosomal RNA (592 nucleotides) under uncultured fungus. RNAcentral describes it as "eukaryotic LSU rRNA". The stretch from base 178 to 331 matches the Rfam family "5.8S ribosomal RNA". The record is from RNAcentral. Lineage: Eukaryota; Fungi.
GAAGUGGUUGCUGCUGGCUCUCUCGAGAGUAUGUGCACGCCCGUCAUCUUUAUAUUUCCACCUGUGCACCUUUUGUAGACCCACAAGGCUUUCGAGUCGAAUGGGCCUAUGUUUUACCAUAUACCCCAAGUAUGUAACUGAAUGUAUCAAUGGGCCUUGUGCCUAUAAACAUUAUACAACUUUCAGCAACGGAUCUCUUGGCUCUCGCAUCGAUGAAGAACGCAGCGAAAUGCGAUAAGUAAUGUGAAUUGCAGAAUUCAGUGAAUCACCGAAUCUUUGAACGCACCUUGCGCUCCUUGGUAUUCCGAGGAGCAUGCCUGUUUGAGUGUCAUUAAAUUCUCAACCUCUCUAGCUUUGCUAGUAAGAUGGCUUGGAUGUGGGGGUUAUUUUUGCAGGCUUUCACAAGUCAGCUCCCCUGAAAUGCAUUAGCCGGUACUCUCUGACCGUCUAUUGGUGUGAUAAUUAUCUACGCCGUGGACUGAAGAAAUUGUACUGCUUAUAAUCGUUCUGUAUAGAACAAUUCAUGACAUUUUGACCUCAAAUCAGGUAGGACUACCCGCUGAACUUAAGCAUAUCAAUAAGGCGGAGGAAA